RNAcentral lists this ribosomal RNA (402 nucleotides) under uncultured bacterium. RNAcentral's name for it is "bacterial SSU rRNA". It matches the Rfam family "Bacterial small subunit ribosomal RNA", at positions 355 to 755 of the family's 1533-position model. The record is from RNAcentral.
UAAGGAAUAUUGGUCAAUGGACGCAAGUCUGAACCAGCCAUGCCGCGUGAAGGAUGAAGGUCCUCUGGAUUGUAAACUUCUUUUAUCUGGGACGAAAACGGGAUUUUUAUCUCAAUUGACGGUACCAGAGGAAUAAGCACCGGCUUACUCCGUGCCAGCAGCCGCGGUAAUACGGAGGGUGCGAGCGUUAUCCGGAUUUACUGGGUUUAAAGGGUGCGUAGGUGGGCUUAUAAGUCAGUGGUGAAAUCCUACAGCUUAACUGUAGAACUGCCUUUUAUACUUUUAUUCUUGAGUUCGGGAGAGAGAGACGGAAUUCCAGGUGUAGUGGUGAAAUACGUAGAUAUCUGGAAGAACACCAGUUGCGAAGGCGGUCUCUUGGUCCGACACUGACGCUGAGGCGCG